AGUCGAGAAUCUUCGGCAAUGAGCGCAAGCUUGACCGAGCGACGCCGCGUGCGGGAUGAAGGCCUUCGGGUUGUAAACCGCUGUCGUAGAGGAGGAAGGCUCCGUGAAGAACGGGGUUUGACCUAUUCUAGGAGGAAGGACGGGCUAAGUUCGUGCCAGCAGCCGCGGUAAUACGAACCGUCCAAACGUUAUUCGGAAUCACUGGGCUUAAAGGGUACGUAGGCGGCGCUAUCAGUCGGGUGUGAAAGCCCACGGCUCAACCGUGGAACUGCGCCCGAUACUGUAGUGCUUGAGGGAGACAGAGGUAAGCGGAACUGAUGGUGGAGCGGUGAAAUGCGUUGAUAUCAUCAGGAACACCGGUGGCGAAAGCGGCUUACUGGGUCUCUUCUGACGCUGAGGUACGAAAGCUAGGGGAGCGAA
This 420-nucleotide ribosomal RNA is filed under the name uncultured Planctomycetaceae bacterium. RNAcentral's name for it is "bacterial SSU rRNA". It matches the Rfam family "Bacterial small subunit ribosomal RNA", at positions 353 to 772 of the family's 1533-position model. Lineage: Bacteria; Pseudomonadati; Planctomycetota; Planctomycetia; Planctomycetales; Planctomycetaceae. The record is from RNAcentral.